This 553-nucleotide ribosomal RNA is filed under the name Trichoderma virens. RNAcentral's name for it is "eukaryotic LSU rRNA". The stretch from base 174 to 327 matches the Rfam family "5.8S ribosomal RNA". The record is from RNAcentral. Lineage: Eukaryota; Fungi; Ascomycota; Sordariomycetes; Hypocreales; Hypocreaceae.
GUGAACGUUACAAACUGUUGCCUCGGCGGGAUCUCUGCCCCGGGUGCGUCGCAGCCCCGGACCAAGGCGCCCGCCGGAGGACCAACCAAAACUCUUAUUGUAUACCCCCUCGCGGGUUUUUUACUAUCUGAGCCAUCUCGGCGCCCCUCGUGGGCGUUUCGAAAAUGAAUCAAAACUUUCAACAACGGAUCUCUUGGUUCUGGCAUCGAUGAAGAACGCAGCGAAAUGCGAUAAGUAAUGUGAAUUGCAGAAUUCAGUGAAUCAUCGAAUCUUUGAACGCACAUUGCGCCCGCCAGUAUUCUGGCGGGCAUGCCUGUCCGAGCGUCAUUUCAACCCUCGAACCCCUCCGGGGGGUCGGCGUUGGGGAUCGGCCCUUUACGGGGCCGGCCCCGAAAUACAGUGGCGGUCUCGCCGCAGCCUCUCCUGCGCAGUAGUUUGCACACUCGCAUCGGGAGCGCGGCGCGUCCACAGCCGUUAAACACCCCAAACUUCUGAAAUGUUGACCUCGGAUCAGGUAGGAAUACCCGCUGAACUUAAGCAUAUCAAUAAGCGG